RNAcentral lists this ribosomal RNA (405 nucleotides) under uncultured bacterium. RNAcentral describes it as "partial 16S ribosomal RNA". It matches the Rfam family "Bacterial small subunit ribosomal RNA", at positions 28 to 526 of the family's 1533-position model. The record is from RNAcentral.
GAUGAACGCUGGCGGCGUGCCUAAUACAUGCAAGUCGAACGCAGUGGGGACGGGUGAGUAACACGUGGGUAACCUGCCAUCAGAGGGGGAUAACACUUGGAAACAGGUGCUAAACCGCAUACGGAUGGAUGGACUCGGGGUGCAUUAGCUAGUUGGGGAGGUAACGGCCCACCAAGGCCACGAUGCAUAGCCGGCCUGAGAGGGUGAUCGGCCACACUGGGACUGAGACACGGCCCAGACUCCUACGGGAGGCAGCAGUGGGGAAUCUUCGGCAAUGGACGGAAGUCUGACCGAGCAACGCCGCGUGAGUGAAGAAGGUUUUCGGAUCGUAAAGCUCUGUUGUAAGAGAAGCGGUAUCUUACCAGAAAGGGACGGCUAACUACGUGCCAGCAGCCGCGGUAAUAC